GGAAUGGGACUGCUCCCGUCCUUGAUCUGGAUACUCUUCUUCUAAUGAAGCCUAAGAUUGUAUUUUCUUUUUAGCAGCUGAGUCACUGCCUUGGCUCAUAUUCAGUUCUCAUAUUAAUUUACAAGAAGUUCUUUGAGUAGAUUCAGAGAGAUUUCCUAUUAGUAGAGCUAACAAAUGAAUGUCUGUUUUUUUCUGAUUGAGUCUAGGCUGUUUUCUCAGAAGUACUCGUCAUUCUUAAGCUUUCUGAAGUCUGAGAAAAAAAAGAAAAAGAAUUAAUUUACAACACCGGAAUUACAUGAAAGUCCAAUUCAAAACUAAAUAAAAUUUAAUGAAUCCCCCUAUACCCAUCACAAAAUCAACCAUUAUUAAGCUAUUUGCCAUAUGUGACUAAACUGUCUUAUUUCUUUUUUCUCUUCUGCCUAAGUAUUUUAAAGAAGAUCGUAGGCAUUGUUUUUUUAUUUUUUAUGGCUGCACGCGUGGUGUAUGGAAGUUCCCUGGGCCAGGGAUUUAAUCUGAGCCACAGCUGCAGCAACACAAGACCCUUUAACCAACUGCACUGGGUUGGGUAUUGAACUCGAACCUCUGCGGUGACCCAGACCGCUGCUGUCAGACUCUUAACCCAUCGUGCCACAGUGGAAACUCCAUAGACAUUGUCUUUUUACCUCUGCAAAUGUCAGUAUGCAUCUCUACAAAGGCAUUUUCUUACAUAACUAAAUGCCAUUAUUGUAUCUAUCAAAAUUAAUAGUAUUUCCUAUUGGUGUUAUCUGAUAUCCAGUUUAUAAUAAAAAUGUCUGUGAUUAUUUAAAAGUGUCUUUUUACAGUUGGUUUUUAACUGAAUCAAGAUCCAGACAAAGUCUACACAUUGCAUUUAGAUGUGCUUAGUGUCUCUUCUAACCUAACACAGUCCCCCUUACUUUUCUGGCAUGUUUCAUUCUGUCUCCUCCUUUCCUACCAAGUUCUGUUACUGUGCCUUUUGAAGUAGGUCUAAUAGUUUUCUUCUUUCACAGUAAUUUCGCGAACAUUUUGAAUUAUUAUGACAAAACAUGUACUAGACGUUAUGAUAGGUAGAAAGGCUGAGGCCCACAAUCCUACCUAUCUGUGGCAGAGACAGGUGUUUACAGAAGCAAACCAAAACAGAUUUAUUUGCCUUCCAGGGGGCCCUGCCUUAAUUGUAUAGCUUUCCAUUUAUUUUCCUAAAAUACGCCGCUCGUGGAAUCUUCUUUAGUUGUGUCCUUAUCAGGAGCCCACAGUUGACUCCUGCUUGAAUCAGUUCAGACGACGCUGUUCUGGGGGGUACGCUCCAUUAGCUCCUGCUUGUGCCUGAAGUGGAACUCCCGGAAGCACAAGCAUUCCAUUUUUUUUUAGACCAAAUUUAUAUUAUCCUGUAGAAUUUUCAUUUCUCAAACAAGGUUGUAGACGUUUUGAGAGCAGAAUUCUUUUUCUGUAUAAUAAUGGAAAGCUUUUCGAGCGUCCUGGUACAUAUGUCAGUGGGCCUGUUACUGCUGCCUGCUACCUUCCCAGAGACAUUCAGAGCUUCUGCCAGUUAGAAGCACAUCGUCCCGGUCUGAGUCUCUUCUUUUAUCCCCAAAGCCUCCUUUAAAAAAAAGCAGUCCCAUUCAGUGGUCUAAAUCGCAGACAACAGAUACAAGGUUUGCAUAUUGCCACUUCCCCAUUACCAUGUCAGUGGCGAACUACUCGUUGUUUUUAUUUUUUUUUAUUUUUUAUUUUUUUUUUACUCAUUGUUUUUAGACAUGACCUUCUCAGUGUAGCACUUCAGGCGGCUACCACCUAUCAAGGAUAAUUGGCAGGUGAUAGAAAACCUUUCUGCUAUCCUUGUCCUAAACCAGUAGUUCCUGAAUUAAGCUGUAAAUCAGAAUCACCUGACACUUUUUGUAAGGUUUUUAUUUUUUCUAUUAUUGACUUACAUUGUUCUGUCAAUUUCUGCUGUACAGCAAAGUGACCCAGUCUUACAUAUAUGUGUAUAUAAUAUAUGUACACACACGUACAUUCUUUUUCUCACAUUAUCCUCCAUCAUGUUCUAUCACAAGUGAUUAGAUAUAGUUCCCUGUGCUAUACGCCAGGAUCUCAUUGCUUAUCCACUCCAGGGGCAAUGGUUUGCAUCUACUAACCCCAGACUCCCAGCCCAUCCCACUCCCUCGUCCUCCCCCUUGGCAACCACAAAUCUGUUCUCCAAGUCCAUGAGUUUCUCUAGCAGUGGCGACUAUACCUGCCCAUCUCUUUGGUAUCUCAUUCCUCUGACAAUCAAUGUUUUGAUAUGUUCAAUUUACACUUCAGGGAUAUGAUAGGCUCUCUCGCUUUGAAUUACACCAGGCAAAGCACAUGAAUCAAAUGCCCAAGAUAAAGAUAUGAGAUCCAGAGAGGUGGCAUCGUGGUUUUCUAAAUAUAACAGCUUAAAUUUAAAACCUCAGAACCCUUCAGCCCUCUGUAGCUUACUCUUUCUCUGGUGAAUACCUUUAAAAAUUUGAAAUGGAAGAACUCAACAUUUUUGGAGUAAACAGUCUUGAAUUUUUCUUAUUUCAUGUAUAUUCAUUAGAGACGAUUUGAACAUAUACUGUGAUUUAACUUCAAACACCAUUGUCAGAUUUUCCAUGAAAGUAAAUCUGCAAAUCGGGAAAACGUUCUUUAUUAGACCACAUGAUUUGAUUUUUGGACUGGAAAUCGUGGUUAGGUUAUUGGGCAAAGUAGAGAUUGAAGUUUCAGAAUUAUCCAGUGAGUUAAUGACAGACCCAGAAAUAGAAUCCUGUGCUGUUUGCUUGGGUUCUGAUUUGGUUUGAAGAGGGUGGCCUGUGACCUCUUUACGUAUAUUGCAGGAAGUAAGUAAGGUUUGGGGUUUGGAAGAAGGUAAGAGCUCUGCGAUGCUUGGCCAGGAAGCUCCCUCUCCCUCAUUUACUACCUGUUUUACUGACACCAGUCCUAAACCAUGGAAGGUGAAGGAACAGCAACUGACUUAAACUCCGACUCUUAAAAACCGUAGAAAGCUGAAGCUGAUUGUUAGUUGGCGUGCUUUUUUUCAUCUUCUGUUAUUAGAGAAUAAGACUUGUCCCUAGUCGUGUUUGUAAAAGAGCGGGUUAUAGCCUAACUUGUUGAUUUAUAGAUGCGGGGGCAUGGUUUCGUGUCGAAUUUUUUCAGGGUGUAUACAGGGUUGUAUACAUAAGUGUAUCUUCAUUAAACACGGUUAGUUAAUAAACAAUAUGCUUUUGAAAUGAUGGAGCCCAUCAGAAAACAAACUUUCCUGAACUACUAAUGGUUCAAGGGGUUAUAGAUUUCAAAAUAAUUGUUAUAAUAGAGUUGCUUUCUGGUGACACCAUUAUUUUUAACCUCCCCUUCCUUUUCCAGUUUUUAGGGUGGGGCUGGCUCUUGCGGCACUGGUGAGCAAAGAAGCAGAAACUUAACAGAACAAGAGAAUAUUUGUGUGCGAUGGUUCUUAAGCUUGCUC
RNAcentral lists this long non-coding RNA (3457 nucleotides) under Sus scrofa (pig). Its description in RNAcentral is "lncRNA (ENSSSCG00015070254.1)". Lineage: Eukaryota; Metazoa; Chordata; Mammalia; Artiodactyla; Suidae. The record is from RNAcentral.